RNAcentral lists this long non-coding RNA (808 nucleotides) under Phasianus colchicus (ring-necked pheasant). Its description in RNAcentral is "lncRNA (ENSPCLG00000018177.1)". The record is from RNAcentral. Lineage: Eukaryota; Metazoa; Chordata; Aves; Galliformes; Phasianidae.
CAAGACAUUUGAAAAUGACAGUUGUAGCACUGGAUGCUGGGCUUUUCUUUCAUUCUGAAGGUUCUUCUUCUAUGGACUUUUUCAUAUUUCCUGAUGAGCAGAGGCCUAGCCUCAAAGAUAUAACCAACGAAGCUGUGCCAAAGCUGAGGAGAAAGGACAAUGCCACCUAUGUUGUGGUAUAAUGUUAUGACAAGUGAUGGCAGCAUGAGGAAAUGAAAAGCACCACCUUGAUUCACACAGUCUCCUGACAGAAAAGCCCUACUGAGCUGCAUGGCACCAUGUUCCUGUGGUUCUUGCUGUGCUGCACUGCUCAUCCCUGUAUUAGCUGCAAUUCUACCUCAUUAACAUUUCCCAGAAGUGAGCAGGGUAGCCAGCAUUUGAUAGAAGCAAGACAGUAGUGCCUAACCAGAUGUCAGGAUGGCACUAGUGCUUGCUGGUAGUGGCAGAAGCCCACGGCACCCUUCCACAAACAAAUCAAGUACCAAGAGGUGCAGAAGGUGUUGGUGCAGAAGCUUUUUGUGAGAUAGGCACAGCAUUGUGGUGAGAAAUGAAUGGCUGACAGCAUGGACUCAUGGGACAAAAAAAAACAACAAGCAAAAUUAAAUAGAAAGUCCUUGUGAACGGCACAAAAUUGAGUGUAUGUGUUGGGGGAGAAGGAGACAAUGAAAGAGUAUAAUUGAUCUUCUGAACUCUCAGACAGAAGAUAGCUGCAACCAGGAGAGAAUGAAUAUAAAUUUGGCGAUAGCCGGACUGAAGAAAAGCAGUACAUUGUGAGUCAUCCAAUUAAUACAGAGGCAUGAGACAAGAC